This 253-nucleotide long non-coding RNA is filed under the name Vitis vinifera (wine grape). RNAcentral describes it as "long non-coding RNA (VVIN_LNC001114)". The record is from RNAcentral. Lineage: Eukaryota; Viridiplantae; Streptophyta; Magnoliopsida; Vitales; Vitaceae.
CAAGGAUUGAAAUGUCGAAAAAUUUCGGCGAUAUUUCGGAGAAAUAUCGCUUAUCGGUCGGCUCCGACACGAUAUUCGUCACCGAUUAUCGGUCGACGGAUAUUUCGAUAAUUUUUCAAAAAUAUCUCCGAUAUUUCGGUAUUUAUCGGUAUUCUUACCGAUUUUUCGGGAAAUUUCCCGAUAUUUCCUACCAGUCCAGUCCCCGCACAGGUUGCUAUUUGGUAAUCUGAUCAUGAUUUGCAGGCAAAGGUUG